Long non-coding RNA from Oryza sativa Japonica Group (Japanese rice), 2837 nucleotides. RefSeq lists it as uncharacterized. Lineage: Eukaryota; Viridiplantae; Streptophyta; Magnoliopsida; Poales; Poaceae. The record is from RefSeq and is a predicted model, not a curated record.
ACCGUAGCUCUAUCUCCUCCACGCAAAACCCACCGGCGAUUUUGCCCCCACGCGCUGACUCCGCCGUGAAAAUCCCCACCGCGAUGACUCUGCCUACUCUCUCCGUGCCUCGCUCCCCGCGCGCAUCCUCCCUCAUCCUCUCCUCGCGACGGCCCAGCGACGACGGACCGCCGGGCCAGGGCCGACGCGUCCCGCACCGCCAGGCCAGCGACGAUGCACCAUCGCAAUGCCGGACCUCCCUCAUCCUCGCAACGGAACAGCGAGGACGCACCACUGCACCGCCGGACUAGCGCCGAGGUUCGCGUUCCCUCCUUUAUAAGCCAGGUAGCCCCACGCCGUUGCAAUCAGCGCACCAGCGGCCGAGGGCUCCGUAGGUGUCGCUGCCUCCGGGGCGGCUCCGUCGUCGCCACCGCAAUCGGGCCCGCUGGUCUAGGGUUUCGUUGGUGCCACAGCCCCGUCGCUGACCGGUGGUCCAGCCUUCCGCCAGCGCCGCUGCUCCAUUGCUCUCCGCUGGUCCAGCCUUCGGUCGCACCUCCGGUCUUGCCGCUGACACGAGGGGCAUAGUAGACCGCAGGUACUUCUAGCUGCUAUAUCCUAUCAAGGUGAUUGGUGUUGCUCCAUACAGACUAACAUUGUAGACUUGUAGUUGCCAUGCUGAAUCUCUUCCAGAUUAUUUUAUACAGAAAUUUUAUUGUACAGGUUUGAGAAUUGUUCAAGUUCGAUCAGAUUAAGGGGAUCGACUCACUUUUGAGAAUUCAUAGAUUCAUUUGUUUAGUACUUUAGUUCUUGAGCACAGAUUAUUGUGAGCCUUCAUCCAUGAAUAAAUUAUAUAUAUGUUCAGUCAUUCACAAAGUGAUUAUCUAACCUGAGUACUCUGUGAUAUAGCAGUUCAUGUGUGUUACCUUCCUUUUUUCUGUUGUCUAAUUUAGAUCAAUGCAUGACUGGUUAGACGGUGAUGCAUCAGGCGGUGGCUGGCCGGACGGGUGCUAGGCAAGAGCCAGUGUGCAGCUGAUCAGUAUAAUGGGUAUUUGCCGGUUUUAAUUCUUUCUCCCAUUUGGUUCAAUUUUCCUUGUUAUAACAAACCAUUCUUUUUUACCUCUGGCAAAGAAAGCUAAUUUGCACAAAAAUGGAGGAUACAACAUUUUUGCUACUCAAGGAUGCGGUUGAAGUUGAAAAGUUGGUUUCAUUGAUUAUUCCUGGGAACAUGAAAUGUUUAUAUUUUAUUUUUCUUAGCCUAAUAAAAAGCAAAUCUUAAUUUCUGAUUUAAUGUGAUACUGCAAUCCACCAUUUGAUUUCUUUAGCUAGGCAUACUAUAAAACGGCCAUGAUACAAGCUUAUACAGAUAUGCUGAAGAUAGGUGAACAGGAUGGAAGGCAUUUUUAUAGGCCCUUGUCAGAUGGCUUUUGGCUUUAAGAUGCUCUAUGAGGAAGGUCAAGGGGAUUUUGUUAUUUUAUUUUUCAUUGAUUGGCCUUUGGUUGAUAUAUAUGAAUUAAUAUACUCCAUAGGCACAACAAAAAGGUAAUAUUAAUAUAUGCAGAAUUAUUUCUUUGCUUUAAGUUUUUACUAUUUUUACUAUGGUUACUACUUAUUGGUCACUGGUCAGAUAAGGGUACAUGCAUAUAUUUUUGUGUACUAUAAACUUAUUAGAGAAACUCAGCUUAGUGUAUGCAAGGGUAAAGGCAUGGAACAACUCUGAUUCUGAAUAGGAAUAACUUCUUCCUUUUUCUGGGCUAGGAAUUUGAGUGUUUACUUUUUCAUUACCAAGGCUUAUAUGCUCCUAGCUAGCAGCUGCUGGUGAUUUGACAAGUUUUGGUGAUUUUGUCCUAAUGCUUCAAAUUUUGUUUUGGGUAGAUCCAAGGACAAAUAUAUUCUCCAAACAGAUGAACUUUUGUUAAAGAUAAAAAAUAUAUUUUAUUUUGAAGCACAAAAUGUGCUAUAACCCCAACCUGAACAUUUUACUGAAGCGAUUACUGUAACAAGUUCAUUUUGUCUGCUCGCUGAACUCUACCCAACCAUGUUUGUUGUUGCUCCAACCAAAAUCAGGAGGCUUUAUGGUCUUUGUGUGCCAUACAACUUUAUAUAUGAAUUUGAAUUUAGUUUUACAUGGUCUGAACUUGGGCUUGCAUUGCUCAAGAACUUGGUUGACAACAUUCUGAAAUUGGCCUCGCAUUAUAUGGCAUCCUGUGUAGUGUAAUGUAUUGUUUCUAUUCAACAUAAACAUGCAUAGUUUCCCUGUGAACUAUUGGUUAUGUACUGAGUUAAUAAUUCCUGACAGCCUUUAGAAAUGUGGAACACUUUUAUUUUUAACAAUUUCAGUACAAAUUUCCUGGGAGCAAAAAAUUGUCAAUCACAUCUCAUGUUGUGUCCUCCAAAAAAAAAGUUCUAAUUUUCUGUCGUGCUGAUGACAAAUUCUUUAUAUAUACCUCAAACGUGUGCACUAUAGAUGUCGAACAUUUGCCAGGUUAGUGUUUGAACAUUUCUUAUAUUAUUUUCUGAGCAUUUGGCAUAUUAGUUUUCGACUUGUCCUUAUGAUGUAGGAGUAUCUGAAUUAAGAAUCUGAACUUCGACAAACAUCUAAAUAUUGUUCAAUGUUUUAAUUUGCUGUGAGCUAAUUAAUGUUAUGAAUUUCUUAUAGCUCAAGUACUGGAAGUUUAGAAAUUCACCAGUCGAUGUAAGAUUUGUGUGGGUUUAGUGUCUGAACAUGGAAUAUACUCCUAUUACCAUUUAAGGUUGAACAUGGAAUGUAUCUUUUUUUUAUGAACUACAUGGAAUGUAUCUGAAUUCAGUGUGUCAUGUUUCUGGAGUUAAGUGUAUGAAUAUGGCACUGUUUUUCCCCA